RNAcentral lists this small nucleolar RNA (233 nucleotides) under Zea mays. RNAcentral's name for it is "Plant small nucleolar RNA U3". It matches the Rfam family "Plant small nucleolar RNA U3". Rfam says of the family: Small nucleolar RNAs (snoRNAs) are involved in the processing and modification of rRNA in the nucleolus. There are two main classes of snoRNAs: the box C/D class, and the box H/ACA class. U3 snoRNA is a member of the box C/D class. The record is from Rfam by way of RNAcentral. Lineage: Eukaryota; Viridiplantae; Streptophyta; Magnoliopsida; Poales; Poaceae.
ACGACCUUACUUGAACAGGAUCAGUUCUAUAGGAUCGUACCGUUGCAUCCUUGACUAAUAAGGAGGCAAGCACUUAAGCCUGAUUGAUGAGGCAAUGACCUGUGGGCCAGAGCGUGAUUAACGGCUGGGAUUGGCUCUGUUCGCUGGGUCUUGUGUUAUAGAGGAUGGUUCCUGGCCAGGCCAUGCUUGUCUUGUCUCGAAGUCUGGGUGGCCCAUAGGUUGUCUGACAGGCU